This 497-nucleotide ribosomal RNA is filed under the name uncultured bacterium. RNAcentral's name for it is "partial 16S ribosomal RNA". It matches the Rfam family "Bacterial small subunit ribosomal RNA", at positions 28 to 507 of the family's 1533-position model. The record is from RNAcentral.
GAUGAACGCUGGCGGCGUGCCUAAUACAUGCAAGUCGAGCGAACAGACGAGGAGCUUGCUCCUCUGACGUUAGCGGCGGACGGGUGAGUAACACGUGGAUAACCUACCUAUAAGACUGGGAUAACUUCGGGAAACCGGAGCUAAUACCGGAUAAUAUAUUGAACCGCAUGGUUCAAUAGUGAAAGACGGUUUUGCUGCCACUUAUAGAUGGAUCCGCGCCGCAUUAGCUAGUUGGUAAGGUAACGGCUUACCAAGGCAACGAUGCGUAGCCGACCGGAGAGGGUGAUCGGCCACACUGGAACUGAGACACGGUCCAGACUCCUACGGGAGGCAGCAGUAGGGAAUCUUCCGCAAUGGGCGAAAGCCUGACGGAGCAACGCCGCGUGAGUGAUGAAGGUCUUCGGAUCGUAAAACUCUGUUAUUAGGGAAGAACAAAUGUGUAAGUAACUAUGCACGUCUUGACGGUACCUAAUCAGAAAGCCACGGCUAACUACGUG